CCUACGGGUGGCAGCAGUGAGGAAUAUUGGUCAAUGGGCGCGAGCCUGAACCAGCCAAGUCGCGUGAGGGAAGACGGUCCUAUGGAUCGUAAACCUCUUUUGUCGGGGAACAAAAGACGCCACGCGUGGCGUUCAGAGAGUACCCGAAGAAAAAGCAUCGGCUAACUCCGUGCCAGCAGCCGCGGUAAUACGGAGGAUGCGAGCGUUAUCCGGAUUUAUUGGGUUUAAAGGGUGCGCAGGCGGAAUGUCAAGUCAGCGGUAAAAGUGAGAGGCUCAACCUCUUCGAGCCGUUGAAACUGGGAUUCUUGAGUGAGCGAGAAGUAUGCGGAAUGCGUGGUGUAGCGGUGAAAUGCAUAGAUAUCGCGCAGAACUCCGAUUGCGAAGGCAGCAUACCGGCGCUCAACUGACGCUCAUGCACGAAAGUGUGGGUAUCGAACAGGAUUAGAUACCCGGGUAGUC
This 459-nucleotide ribosomal RNA is filed under the name uncultured bacterium. Its description in RNAcentral is "partial 16S ribosomal RNA". It matches the Rfam family "Bacterial small subunit ribosomal RNA", at positions 338 to 795 of the family's 1533-position model. The record is from RNAcentral.